Molecule: long non-coding RNA, 1952 nt
Organism: Syzygium oleosum
Lineage: Eukaryota; Viridiplantae; Streptophyta; Magnoliopsida; Myrtales; Myrtaceae
Exons: 5
Source: RefSeq, a predicted model, not a curated record
AGUUCUGGAAGUGAGGCACUGGGUGGAGGAGACGGCCAAACUGGAGAGAUGCGGCACCGGCAGCUCCGACUCCGCCGGUGGCGACGGCGGAAGGAGGCCCGGAGGUUGGGCUUGUGGCUGCAGACGGAAGAAGAGGAAAAGAGAAAUCCAGAUGGAUUUGGGAAUUUUUAUUUCAUUUCUCUGAUUUCAUAUGUGUCAAUUUGUAAUUAGUUCAAAAUAAAUAAGCGCGUGUCAUGUCAGCCAUUAAUGUGGCGCUCCUGAACCCCCGAAUAUUUUCUCAUGUCUGUGGCACAAGGAGAAAUAAAGAAAAGAGUAGGCAGGGGAUUACAAAGUUAUAAAACUAUGGGAUGUUUGUUAUCUUGUUUGGAUCCAAUCACCUCCCAGAGAGUCUUGUUGUGUAUUGUAGGUUAAGGAUUUGAGGUAGCGUAGUGUGAUAGACUGGUGUAGGACGCUUGUCUCCCAAAAGGGAUAAAUUUUCUUGAAUUUGAGUUGUCUCUUGAUUAUAGCUUCAUGGAGAGGCUCGAAAUGACAAGAUAUUUAUUCCGUCCGGAAGGGGAGUCUACUAUAAUCCCAAAGAUAAUUGUUUGGAUAAAGCAUCGAUUCAUAUCAAGAGCCCACACCAGAUGUACUGGAUGUGCCUUGUUCAUUGUUAAUUGAGAUGCAGUCGAGGUCGCUCCCAUUGGUCGUUCCUGUGCAUUUAGUUUCGCUGCGAUUCAAAAUUUUGCGGUUCGGGUGCAGAUCGUUCCAUUGUCUGGGAACUCAUGUUUGAUGUUUGGUCUUGGCAUAGAGUUAGAGGGGAUAACACAAUGACUAGGAAUAUUCAGACUGAGUUUCAUGGGAAGAUCUGUUCUGCCGCACUUCCAAAGAAGUUGGUUGUGCAGCCUUUAUUUCAAGCUGCUAUCUUUUGGUUGUUUUUAGCCUUUGAGUUCCGUAAUGGCCGGUGAAGUCUCAGUGACCCUUCCUAACGACAACGGCAAUGGGACUCCAUCUGAUCCCUUAAGGACUUACCAACUUGUUGUUGCUGCAACUUGAGUGUAUAGGCAAGGAUGGAACACUUCCCUGGAGGCUGCCUUCUCAUCUCAAAUAUUUUAAGAGCAUUACUCUCUCAACAGUUAAUCCUGGGAAAAAGAAUGCAGUCAUAAUGGGUAGAAAAACAUGGGAAAGUAUUCCUGCUGAGCUUAGGCCACUUCCUGGCUGACUCAAUGUUGUUCUCACUCAUUCUGAGAGUUUUGAUAUUGCGACUGCAGCAAAUGUCCUUGGGGAGCGACUAACAAGCUGUAGGUUUAAGUUGAGCUAUCGAAGAGAGAAUGGGCCUUCAUUUUUGUUCUUUUUCUUGUUAGUGAUAGAUUGCUUUUACUGGCGAGUGUUUUAGCGAUUGGUCUCUGCAAUUUCAGGCAAAAAUGAGAUGAAAAAAGAACAUAUUUUAUAUGUUCAUGCUACUUAAAUUUUUGUUGAUGUCGGCUUAGUUGGGUCAUUUUGGAUUAGAUUGGUGAGCAGAAAUGGACCAAGGGAAACCAGAAGGAGAAGGUGAACAACAUGGUGCUGUUUGACCAGGCAACUUAGGACAAGCUUCUGUCCAAGGCACCCAAGUAUAAGCUCAUCACCCCGUCCAUCCUCUCUGAUCAUUUAAGGAGUAAUGGAUCACUUGCUUGGAAGGCAAUAAGAGAACUCACGGCUAGAGGUUUGGAUCAGGAUGGUCUCUGCUCAUACCAGCUAGCAGAUCUACACCAGGGGCGACAAAUACAUGUAUGUCUUAGGCCCCUUGUACUUUCAGCUAUACAGUAAUGGUUGUUUUAUAUCCUGCGUUGGUAAAGUACUGUGGUUUUUUUUUUAAUCUCUGGGAUAGUAUGAAAAAUAUAUGUUUGUUUCAUAUCUUGCAUUUGUGAAUAUUCCGGAUGUAAAACUGAUGGACAAGAAAAAAAAAGAUCAAUUUUUUUUGUUUGAUGUGUGCA